UGGGGAAUUUUGGACAAUGGGCGAAAGCCUGAUCCAGCAAUGCCGCGUGUGUGAAGAAGGCCUUCGGGUUGUAAAGCACUUUUGUCCGGAAAGAAAUCCUUGGCUCUAAUACAGUCGGGGGAUGACGGUACCGGAAGAAUAAGCACCGGCUAACUACGUGCCAGCAGCCGCGGUAAUACGUAGGGUGCAAGCGUUAAUCGGAAUUACUGGGCGUAAAGCGUGCGCAGGCGGUUUGCUAAGACCGAUGUGAAAAUCCCCGGGCUCAACCUGGGGAACUGCAUUGGUGACUGGCAGGCUAGAGUAUGGCAGAGGGGGGUAGAAUUCCACGUGUAGCAGUGAAAUGCGUAGAGAUGUGGAGGAAUACCGAUGGCGAAGGCAGCCCCCUGGGCCAAAUACUGACGCUCAUGCACGAAAGCGUGGGGAGCAAACAGGAUUAGAUACCCUGGUAGUCCACGCCCUAAAACGAUGUCAACUAGUUNUUGGGGAUUCAUUUCCUUAGUAACGUAGCUAACGCGUGAAGUUGACCGCCUGGGGAGU
Molecule: ribosomal RNA, 537 nt
Filed under: uncultured bacterium
Lineage: Bacteria
Description: partial 16S ribosomal RNA
Rfam family: Bacterial small subunit ribosomal RNA
Source: RNAcentral